This 253-nucleotide ribosomal RNA is filed under the name uncultured bacterium. Its description in RNAcentral is "partial 16S ribosomal RNA". It matches the Rfam family "Bacterial small subunit ribosomal RNA", at positions 524 to 776 of the family's 1533-position model. The record is from RNAcentral.
GACGUAGGGGGCCAGCGUUGUUCGGAUUUACUGGGCGUAAAGGGCGCGUAGGCGGCGCGGUAAGUCACUUGUGAAAUCUCUGAGCUUAACUCAGAACGGCCAAGUGAUACUGCAGUGCUAGAGUGCAGAAAGGGCAAUCGGAAUUCUUGGUGUAGCGGUGAAAUGCGUAGAUAUCAGGAGGAACACCGGUGGCGAAGGCGGGUCUCUGGGCCGUAACUGACGCUGAGGAGCGAAAGCAUGGGGAGCGAACAGG